RNAcentral lists this ribosomal RNA (761 nucleotides) under uncultured bacterium. Its description in RNAcentral is "bacterial SSU rRNA". It matches the Rfam family "Bacterial small subunit ribosomal RNA", at positions 59 to 818 of the family's 1533-position model. The record is from RNAcentral.
CAGUCGAACGAAGCACUUUAUUUGAUUUCCUUCGGGACUGAUUAUUUUGUGACUGAGUGGCGGACGGGUGAGUAACGCGUGGGUAACCUGCCUUGUACAGGGGGAUAACAGUUGGAAACGGCUGCUAAUACCGCAUAAGCGCACGGCAUCGCAUGAUGCAGUGUGAAAAACUCCGGUGGUAUAAGAUGGACCCGCGUUGGAUUAGCUAGUUGGUGAGGUAACGGCCCACCAAGGCGACGAUCCAUAGCCGACCUGAGAGGGUGACCGGCCACAUUGGGACUGAGACACGGCCCAAACUCCUACGGGAGGCAGCAGUGGGGAAUAUUGCACAAUGGGCGAAAGCCUGAUGCAGCGACGCCGCGUGAGCGAAGAAGUAUUUCGGUAUGUAAAGCUCUAUCAGCAGGGAAGAUAAUGACGGUACCUGACUAAGAAGCACCGGCUAAAUACGUGCCAGCAGCCGCGGUAAUACGUAUGGUGCAAGCGUUAUCCGGAUUUACUGGGUGUAAAGGGAGCGCAGGCGGUGCGGCAAGUCUGAUGUGAAAGCCCGGGGCUCAACCCCGGUACUGCAUUGGAAACUGUCGUACUAGAGUGUCGGAGGGGUAAGCGGAAUUCCUAGUGUAGCGGUGAAAUGCGUAGAUAUUAGGAGGAACACCAGUGGCGAAGGCGGCUUACUGGACGAUAACUGACGCUGAGGCUCGAAAGCGUGGGGAGCAAACAGGAUUAGAUACCCUGGUAGUCCACGCCGUANACGAUGAAUACUA